GAAUUUUGGACAAUGGGGGCAACCCUGAUCCAGCCAUCCCGCGUGUGCGAUGAAGGCCUUCGGGUUGUAAAGCACUUUUGGCAGGGAAGAAAAGGCUCUGGCUAAUACCUGGAGCUGCUGACGGUACCUGCAGACUAAGCACCGGCUAACUACGUACCCGCAGCCGCGGUAAUACGUAGGGUGCACGCGUUCAUCGGAAUUACUGGACGUAAAGCGUGCGCGGGCGGUUCGGCAAGAAGGAUGUGAAAUCCCAGGGCUUAACCGUGGAACUGCAUUCUUAACAGCCGGGCUAGAGUAUGUCAGAGGGGGGUAGAAUUCCGCGUGUAGCAGUGAAAUGCGUAGAGAUGCGGAGGAAUACCGAUGGCGAAGGCAGCCCCCUGGGAUAAUACUGACGCUCCUGCACGAAAGCGUGGGGAGCAAAC
Molecule: ribosomal RNA, 422 nt
Filed under: uncultured bacterium
Lineage: Bacteria
Description: partial 16S ribosomal RNA
Rfam family: Bacterial small subunit ribosomal RNA
Source: RNAcentral